UGAGGAAUAUUGGGCAAUGCCCGCAAGGGUGACCCAGCAACGCCGCGUGGAGGAUGAAUGUCGUAAGAUUGUAAACUCCUGUUAGAGGGGAAGAAUAGUACCGGUUGGACCGGUAUAUGACUGUACCCUCAGAGAAAGCCCCGGCUAACUACGUGCCAGCAGCCGCGGUAAUACGUAGGGGGCAAGCGUUGUCCGGAUUUACUGGGUGUAAAGGGCGCGCAGGCGGGAUAAAAAGUCAGUGGUGAAAUCCUACAGCUUAACUGUAGAACUGCCUUUGAUACUUUUAUUCUUGAGUUCGGGAGAGAGAGACGGAAUUCCAGGUGUAGGGGUGAAAUACGUAGAUAUCUGGAAGAACACCAGUUGCGAAGGCGGUCUCUUGGUCCGACACUGACGCUGAGGCGCGAAAGCGUGGGGAGCAAACA
Molecule: ribosomal RNA, 422 nt
Filed under: uncultured bacterium
Lineage: Bacteria
Description: bacterial SSU rRNA
Rfam family: Bacterial small subunit ribosomal RNA
Source: RNAcentral